Molecule: ribosomal RNA, 444 nt
Filed under: uncultured bacterium
Lineage: Bacteria
Description: partial 16S ribosomal RNA
Rfam family: Bacterial small subunit ribosomal RNA
Source: RNAcentral
CCUACGGGCGGCAGCAGUGGGGAAUAUUGGGCAAUGGAGGCAACUCUUACCCAGCAAUGCCGCGUGAAUGAAGAAGGUCUUCGGAUUGUAAAGUUCUUUAAUUGGGGACGAAAAAAAUGACGGUUCCCCAGGAAUAAGCCCCGGCUACCUACGUGCCCGCAGCCGCGGGAAUACGUAGGGGGCAAGCGGUGUUCGGAAUGACUGGGCGUAAAGGGUGUGUAGGCGGUGUAGCAAGUUAGAAGUGAAAUACCUAGCGCUUAACUCAGGUGCUGCUUCUAAAACUGGUAUACUUGAGUGCAGUAGAGGAAAGUGGAAUUCCUGGUGUAGCGGUGGAAUGCGUAGAUAUUAGGAGGAACAUCAGUGGCGAAGGCGACUUUCUGGACUGUAACUGACGCUGAGGCACGAAAGUGUGGGGAGCAAACAGGAUUAGAUACCCUAGUAGUC